UAGAGUUUGAUCCUGGCUCAGGGCUAACGCUGGCAGCGUGCCUUAGCCAUGCAAGUCGAGCGGGGAAGGCCCUUAUGGGUCUUCCCAGCGGCGGACGGCGGAGUAAUACACCGCUAACCUGCCCUGGGGAGGGGGAUAACCUGCCGAAAGGUGGGCUAAUCCCCCAUACGCUCCCUUGGGGGCAUCCCUGAGGGAGGAAAGGGUCCUAAGGACCUGCCCUAGGAGGGGGCGGUGGCCCAUCAGGUAGUUGGUGGGGUAACGGCCCACCAAGCCUAAGACGGGUAGCCGGCGUGAGAGCGCGGCCGGCCCGAGGGGCACUGAGACACGGGCCCCACUCCUACGGGAGGCAGCAGGCUGGAAAUGUGGGCAAUGGGGGAAACCCUGACCCCGCGACGCUGCGUGCGGGAAGAAGCCCUUCGGGGUGUAAACCGCUUUUGCGGGGGACGAAGGACUGACGGUACCCCGCGAAUAAGCCACGGCUAACCUCGUGCCAGCAGCCGCGGUAAGACGGGGGUGGCGAGCGUUGCCCGGAAUUACUGGGCUUAAAGGGGGUGUAGGCGGCUGGGUGUGUCGGGCGUGUAAUCUUGGGGGCUCAACCCCAANGGCUGCGCCCGAAACUACCUGGCUAGAGGGCGCCAGGGGGAGGCGGAACUCCCGGUGUAGCGGUGAAAUGCGUAGAUAUCGGGGGGAACACCGGAGGCGAAGGCGGCCUCCUGGGGCGCACCUGACGCUGAGGCCCGAAGGCUGGGGGAGCAAAGGGGAUUAGAUACCCCCGUAGUCCCAGCAGUAAACGAUGUGGGCUAGCGGUCUGGCCUUGAGGCUGGGUCGCGAAGGGAAACCGAUAAGCCCACCGCCUGGGGAGUACGCCCGCAAGGGUGAAACUCAAAGGAAUAGACGGGAGCCCGCACAAGCGGCGGAGCGCGUGGUUUAAUUCGAUGCUGACCGAAGAACCUCACCCGGGCUUGACAUCCCGCCGUCAAGCCUGCCCGAAAGGGUAGGUGAGCCUACCGGAGAGGUAGGCAGGCGGGACAGGAGCUGCACGGCUGUCGUCAGCUCGUGUCGUGAGAUGUUGGGUUAAGUCCCGCAACGAGCGCAACCCCUACCCAUAGUUGCCAGCGGGUCGCCCACGUAGGUGGGCGAUGCCGGGGACUCUAUGGGGACUGCCGGCGAGGAGCCGGAGGAAGGAGGGGACGACGUCAAGUCCGUGUGGCCCUUAUGUCCGGGGCUACACACGCGCUACAAUGGGCGGUACAGAGGGAAGCGACCCCGCGAGGGGGAGCAAAUCCCUAAAACCGCCCCCAGUUCGGAUUGCAGGCUGAAACCCGCCUGCAUGAAGGAGGAGUCGCUAGUAAUCACCUAUCAGCUAUGGGGUGGUGAAUACGUUCCCGGGCUCUGUACUCACCGCCCGUCACGCCAUGGGAGCCGGGGGUGCCUGAAGCC
Molecule: ribosomal RNA, 1440 nt
Filed under: uncultured Thermotogales bacterium
Lineage: Bacteria; Thermotogati; Thermotogota; Thermotogae; Thermotogales
Description: 16S ribosomal RNA
Rfam family: Bacterial small subunit ribosomal RNA
Source: RNAcentral